UUGGAAAUCGCGCCUCAAUUCAAAGAAAGUUGGAGUCAGCUAUGUGAAUCGUCAGAAACAAUUACGCCUCAAUUCCAACAAAGUUGGAACUAUGACUCGAUUCCAAGAGAGUUGGAGUCGCACCUCAAUUCCAAGAAAGUAGGAGUCAGGUAUGUGAAUCGUCGCCUCAAUUCCAAUAAAGUUGGAAUCGCGCCUCAAUUCCAAUAAAGUUGGAGUCAGCUAUGUGAAUUGUCACAACCAAUUAUACCCUCGAUUCCAAGAAAGUUGGAAGUAGGACUCUGACUCCAAGAAAGUUGGACUUCGCGCCUCAAUUCAAAGAAAGUUGGAGUCAGCUAUGUGAAUCGUCAGAAACAAUUACGCCUCAAUUCCAACAAAGUUGGAACUAUGACUCGAUUCCAAGAGAGUUGGAGUCGCACCUCAAUUCCAGGAAAGUAGGAGUCAGGUAUGUGAAUCGUCGCCUCAAUUCCAAUAAAGUUGUAAUCGCGCCUCAAUUCCAAUAAAGUUGGAGUCAGCUAUGUGAAUUGUCACAACCAAUUAUACCCUCGAUUCCAAGAAAGUUGGAAGUAGGACUCUGACUCCAAGAAAGUUGGACUUCGCGCCUCAAUUCAAAGAAAGUUGGAGUCAGCUAUGUGAAUCGUCAGAAACAAUUACGCCUCAAUUCCAACAAAGUUGGAACUAUGACUCGAUUCCGAGAAAGUUGGAGUCGCACCUCAAUUCCAGGAAAGUAGGAGUCAGGUAUGUGAAUCGUCGCCUCAAUUCCAAUAAAGUUGUAAUCGCGCCUCAAUUCCAAUAAAGUUGGAGUCAGCUAUGUGAAUUGUCACAACCAAUUAUACCCUCGAUUCCAAGAAAGUUGGAAGUAGGACUCUGACUCCAAGAAAGUUGGAC
RNAcentral lists this long non-coding RNA (885 nucleotides) under Capsicum annuum. RNAcentral describes it as "long non-coding RNA (CANN_LNC009037)". The record is from RNAcentral. Lineage: Eukaryota; Viridiplantae; Streptophyta; Magnoliopsida; Solanales; Solanaceae.